ACCCUUUCUUUUAACACUUUGAUUCUUCCCCAGCCUUUUUCCUUUGCUAAGACGUCAGUCUCUUUCUUCAAAUCCUCUAAUUGGAUCCUCGCAUCCAUCUCAUGAGCCUCCCUCUCAGCGACCAACUUUUCAGAGUCUACAACUUUCUUCUCCUUACUAUUGGCUUUACUCCAUCUCAGCGAAACUUCUUUUCAAGGAAGCGUAGAACUUCUUCCAAUGUUUAGAUUCCUUUUGUAACGUGGUUCUUGGCUGCAACAUCCUCUACAAAGACUUGCCUUAAACCAUGAAGAAUGAGUUCUAAUUCCCCUGCUUGUACAUCAAUUGUCCCCAUAAGUUCUGCCAUUAUAAGUCGGACAAGUUCACCGCUUCUGCCAGAAGCUUAACCAACAGCUCAUGGUAAGCUCCUAUCCCAGUUGGCAGCCACACCUGCAGGAGUGUAGAGGAACUCCCCCAAAGGGAUUUUAUCUCUCUAACUGUGAAAAUGUUGGGGACAAGAUUUCCCACCAACUUGAAUAACUCCAUGAACGACCUUUGAAG
RNAcentral lists this long non-coding RNA (537 nucleotides) under Gossypium raimondii (Peruvian cotton). RNAcentral describes it as "long non-coding RNA (GRAI_LNC005206)". The record is from RNAcentral. Lineage: Eukaryota; Viridiplantae; Streptophyta; Magnoliopsida; Malvales; Malvaceae.